This is a small nuclear RNA of Cercocebus atys (sooty mangabey), 107 nucleotides long. NCBI's taxonomy places the organism in Eukaryota, Metazoa, Chordata, Mammalia, Primates, Cercopithecidae. The record is from Ensembl.
GUGCUCACUUUCGCAACACAAAUACUAAAAUUGGAAUGGUACUGGGAAGAUUAGUAUGUGCCCUACACAAGGAUGACAUGCUAAUUCACAAAGCAUUCCAUAUUUUU